This is a long non-coding RNA of Cyprinus carpio (common carp), 1759 nucleotides long. Lineage: Eukaryota; Metazoa; Chordata; Actinopteri; Cypriniformes; Cyprinidae. The record is from Ensembl.
AUGUCACAUUCUGUGGCACCUCUACAAGCGGCAGCUGAAAGCACAGGUCUUGUGUUUGAGUGCUGGGCAGGUUGUAAUGAAGCUGGGUGUGUAGACUGCAGUUUGCUCUCCAGGGAGCAUGAGCCUGAGAUGGUUGUUACUAGCUCAGACCAGCUCAAUACUGCUUUUUUACUUGCCUUGAGUUGUUUACCUCUUCUUUUUUCCACGUCCUUAAAGAAAACACUCUUCUUCUCUUUUUGUUUCAGCUGCAACACCUCUAAAGAGCUAAAGUUGGAGACCACAGGUCGAGGCUGGACUGUCAGUGAUUGACAUGAGCAGAAACCAUCCGUCCCCAUCCAGCUUCAUUUCAAAAGGGAUUCAAACUUCCAGGGAUAGUAAAACUUUACAUUUUGAUAUUUCAUGUGAUUCCCGUGUGCAUGAGGGAAAGCGUAUGAUGACCGACUGACUGUACGUUACACGACUGACCCACUGAUCUCCAAAGCCUGCCCGUCUCUUGUCAAGCUCCCCGCGUCCCGUCUGAGAGCGUCUGUCCACUCAAACACGGCCAGCUGCAACUCAUUACCCACUGUAUUUUAAAAUCCUGUGUUUUUUUUAUUUUUUAUGAUGUUUUAAAGUACUUUGAAUAUUGCAUAUAUUGGAAGUCCAAAUGUAUCAGAAUAAUUGGAGGCCUUAUUGCAAACAUGUUGUGCCUGUCUUUUAUUACAUAUAUAAAUUAAAAUGGUUUUCACUCCUAGAAGUUUCCGUGAUUACUUGCUCAUCACUCUGUGUUUUCUUGGUCUCUUAACGGAAAUGCAUGUCAGAUUUUCAGAUUAUUACACUACUGGUCAUUUUAAUGUUUUUUUAAGUCUCUUCUGCUUACCAAGGCUGCAUUUAUUUGAUCAAAAUACAGUAAAACAGUGAAAUAUUAUUAUAAAUUAAAACAGCUGUUUUCUGUGUGAAUCUCUGUUAAAGUGUAAUGUAUUUCUGUGAUGCGCAGCUGUAUUUUCAGCAUCAUUACUCCAGUCUUCAGUGUCACAUGAUCUUCAGAAAUCAUUCUAAUAUGAUGAUUUGCUGCUCAAGAAACAUUUCUGAUUAUUAUCAAUGUUGAACACAGUUGUGCAGCACAAUAUUUUUGUGGAAACUAUGAUAAAUUUUUAUUGUUCAGGAUUCACAGAUUAAUAGAAAGUUCAAAAGAACAGCAUUUAUUUGAAAUCAAUUCUACUUAUACUGUAUAUUAAUUUAAUGUUUCAUAUGAACUUCUGUAAUUUCUUUACCUCCCAGCAGGAGCACAUGUCAGUGGAUUAAAGAGAAAGAGAAGUGUUCUCCAGUAGUUCUGAGGGUCAAGGGCAAAAUCAAGCCUUCAUUUAAAUGCAGUUCAUUUAAAACAGCCGGAAUACUCAGUUUGGCCAUGAAUUUCAUCAGAACUGAUCAGCUCAGCUUGAAGAAGCGGUCUGUGUUUAUUUUGAGAAGCUAAUGUCCAGAGAUGCUUCAGCCUUGGCUUCUAUUUCCAUUUGAGUUUUGAAGAAUUAUUUUGGAGAUGAGAAGACCUGAUGUCAAAGCGCAACAUCUUUCUCCUUUUGAAGGCACGAUUUUGAGGGCAGCGGUUUCAAGAAUAAGUGAUGCAAUCAUUUCAGCCUAUGAGAAGCCUCAAAUUAGCUCUGUUUUUUAUUUUUUAUUUAUUUAUUUAUGUAUUUAUUAUUUUUAUUAAAUGUUUAUUUUUUAUAUAAUAAUAAUAAUAUAAUGCAAUAAAAUUAAUUGUUUUUAUUUUUAUAUUGUUUUA